CGGCCGCAGUACCCUGACUGUGCUAAGGUAGCAUAAUAAUUUGGCCUUUAAUUGGGGUCUGGUAUGAAUGGGUUUAUGGGGGAAAGCUGUCUUUUACUUAUUGGGUGAAAAUUCCCAAGACUUAAAAUAAGACGAGAAGACCCUUAGAAUUACGCUUUUGUUGGGGCAACAUUGUCAGAUGAAGUUGACAAUCUCAGAUUAUAAGGAAGAGUUAAUUACCUAAGGGAUAACAGCAUAAUUUCAAUUUUAGAUUGUGACCUCGAUGUUGGACUAGGAAAACCUCCCACUAG
RNAcentral lists this ribosomal RNA (290 nucleotides) under Gittenedouardia natalensis. RNAcentral describes it as "partial large subunit ribosomal RNA". It matches the Rfam family "Bacterial large subunit ribosomal RNA", at positions 1928 to 2556 of the family's 2925-position model. Lineage: Eukaryota; Metazoa; Mollusca; Gastropoda; Stylommatophora; Cerastidae. The record is from RNAcentral.